GGACCCAAUCGCACGUGCUGGGAGGGGCGGCGGCCAAGUGGUCCGGGAGCCGCGCGUUGGGGCGUAGGGGACCGUGGCUUGGAGCCCGGGAGGGCUGCGAGCCUACUCAAGCUGCUUUUCUUCUUCCAUCACCUUCUCCUUUCGCUGUGCACGGGCCACGCAGUGGAACUGCAGCGGUGAAAACGACUGAAUUUGGGGCCCUGUAACCUCCUGGCAACCCUGAGGAGCGGCAGCGGAAACACAAGUAAGAAUGGAGGGUGCUCUUCUCCCCAGAAGCUAACAAAGGGUCAGUCUUUCUCUGUGAAAUGGCUGUAGAAUAUAAACGGAGGCUCCUGGCAUUUCCCUACUGGCUCAGUUCAAGAACCACCCACUCCGAGUUGUCUUCCUGGAUUUUCUCAGCCCAAAGUAAUCCUUCUUUUUCUGAGGUACAAAAGAGGUUCAACAGUGAGUAUUGUAGAUGCUGAGCUUCAUCUGUGAACAAAACCUACCAAGUCUCUGACCACAUGGAAUUCAUGAGGUGGACGCAGGGCCACACAGGAACAACUCACAGCAAACUACAGGGACACUCAUGACAUGUCUGUGCCCAGGGAAGUCCACCAAGUCUCCAGGUCUGAGGCAUUUAUGAGACAAAACUCAAGUCUCAAAUGAAAGGAUCCCUGAAGACUUCCUUAUGGAUUUUGUCUCUGGGAACACGGCUCAGCAGCAUGGACACAGAAACAGCAGUGGUGGCUGAUUGCAUUGAUCCAGAUUUGGAAGUUGUGUGGCAGUUAAAGCAGAAGGAUAAGGAUCAAACCUACAGCCCCUGCAGUGGAAGCGAAGUCUUAACCUCUGGAUCACCAGGGAAGUCCCUGUGCUGAGUCAAGAAGAACCUCACCCAUUAACACAAAAAAUGUGCAACUAACUGAGGAUUCUGGAUGCUUAGAUGCUAAAGGAAUAAUGCCUGGAGUGUGGGUUUGGUCAGGGCAGGCUGCCCGAAGAAGGUCUCCAGGCAGAUGGUGAAGAGUUGGUAGAUUUCUGAUGGCAGGGGCUUCCCAAGUUGAGGAAAAGGCGUUGGGCAUGAGUCAGAGACCAUAGAGCGUGUAAUAAACUAGAGACUGCUCUCUACCAAGAUCUCCAGAGCCUCACAUCGGUCAGUGCCCCCAAAGAGGCAGAGUCCGGCUUCAGGCCUCUAGCCUUCUCUCUUUUGGGGAAGAAAAUACCUCUACUCUGAAGGCAGCCAGCACAUAUUUUACUCACAACAGUCAGCAGAUGGCUGUGGAUCCCAGGAAUCACAUCAGGACAAAGCUCGCUGUGCAUUUUCCAUCACUGGUAGCUAUCCCAACAGUGACGUGGGGCAUCGUUAUUAAUAGGUGAAGGACAAAGAGAGAGGGGAAGUGGCUUGGGUUGAGUCACACAGCAAAGUUAGAACUCCCAACUCCCAGCAACUGGCCUCACCCUGGGCUCUAUCCCGCACACCUGGCAGCUCCAGAGACUUUCUCCUUUUCGUACUCUGGGCCAUGAACUCUCUGGUUAACCAAGAGGGUCCAACUUGUCUUGCAGAGAAAUGAAGCAAAAUCUUCCUUGGGACGGUAUAUUGUGGUCUUCCUGUUUCUAUUGAUUGGCAGGAAACUGAGUGCCCCCUACUUACUGAAUGACCUUGAACACAUCAUUGAAAGUCCCUGGACCCUCAGGUUUCCCUUCAGUAAAGUGUAGAAAAGAGUUAUUGGUGCCUACCCCAGAGAAGCUGUGGAUGAGCUAGGGAGAGGAUCGGUGUACCCUUAUCCAAUUUAUUCUGCAUUAUCCUUUACGCGGGUGAACUUCCCGGCUGAGCAUAAUCACAUGGGUGGGCUUUAAAAAUACAAAUUCCUGGGCGUUGACCAACCUGGCUUACUUGGAUGUCUUCUCUGUUCUCCUGGCCAAGUGGCCCCCAGUAUGAAGGGAACCCCCUCGAGUUGAGCAGUGGGGUGGUCUUUAACCUUUCUGUUUAAAUCCUCUCGACUCAGCUUAAACGAACCUUUGCUAGGACAUGGGAGACAUUGCGUUCUGUUUCAAGCUCCCCCUUGGACUCCCUGUUCUCCCAAUUUUGGCACUUCUCACAUACUGCUUGUUAUUUUUACUUAACUGUUUCAAAUCUUUGCCUCUUAUUUCCUCAAUUAGCUAUCAGAGGAUAAAAACAGUGUCCUGCCCUUCUCUUUUGACCCCCCAAAAUGCCAGCUCCAUUAGCACUUAGUACCUCUUCAAUAAAUAUUUGUUGAAUGGCAGAUCUUGUAAUUCGGAAAUCUGAAAUCAUUUCUUAUUUAUUUGGGAGGGGUUCUGUGUCCUUUGGAAGCUUUCUGGUCACAUGGAAAGAACUUUAAACAAAGAGGCAAGAGCCCUAGCUUCCAAUCUUGGCACUGUCACAAACUCCCAUUGUGACCUGCAACAAGUCGCCUGCCUUCUCUAGCCCUCGGUCCCUCACUUGAGAAACCAGGACUGAUAUAUAAGUUUCUUUCAGCUCUGGAUUUUUUUCACUACUGUGGUUAGCCA
Molecule: long non-coding RNA, 2505 nt
Organism: Bos taurus (domestic cattle)
Lineage: Eukaryota; Metazoa; Chordata; Mammalia; Artiodactyla; Bovidae
Source: Ensembl